Molecule: non-coding RNA, 382 nt
Organism: Schizosaccharomyces pombe (fission yeast)
Lineage: Eukaryota; Fungi; Ascomycota; Schizosaccharomycetes; Schizosaccharomycetales; Schizosaccharomycetaceae
Source: the annotation of a GenBank genome assembly
AACAAAAGAAGCUGUUUUAGGGUCUUUAAACUCGGGGAAGGUGUUUAUUAAAUCUUCAAAAAUCUCAUCAUCGUAUCUAUUCAAUAGUAAGCAAUUUGAACUUUAAAUUAAAGAUGUAAAUAUAUACUUACUUUGUCAGCUUUAACUCGCUUCCCUUGCGCAUUUCCAAAAGACUCCAGUAUAUUUCUAAAUUGUUAUUUUUUAUUCCAUCAUAUUUUGCUCAACUUACGAGCCUGUUCAACAGCUUUUACUGCAAACUAAAAUUUUUUAAAUCAGUACAUGCUUUACCAAAACUAAAUACUUUCUACAACCACGUACCUGCAUUUCAAUCUAAAAUCUGUAAGUAUUAUUAAAUAAAUAAUAACCAAGGCUUACCUCGGCG